Long non-coding RNA from Lycium barbarum (goji berry), 1389 nucleotides. RefSeq lists it as uncharacterized. NCBI's taxonomy places the organism in Eukaryota, Viridiplantae, Streptophyta, Magnoliopsida, Solanales, Solanaceae. The record is from RefSeq and is a predicted model, not a curated record. The transcript is spliced from 6 exons.
AUCACUUUCACCAUACACAUGUCUCUCCGCCUAUUUUUCUCAUCUUUCAUCGAACUCAUGGUUGCAACUAAGCCCUCAAAUGACUCUUUCCCUCCCUCCCCUUGCAUCCCUACUAAUAAAAUAAGGAGCCUGAAACUUUUGUCCUGCCGCUUUCAAUCUUUCAUUUACUUUUGACGACAUUCUGUGAAUAUGUCAAGAAUUUAAGGAUGUAAAUCUGCGAUCUAAUCUGUGUUUUCAUUGCUUUUUCUUUUAAGGUUUGAAUCUAAAGAUUUCUGCUAACAAGUCCCAGACCUGGCACCAUAUAAAGGGUUUUCCAAUUCAAGGUCCUAAGAUAAAGAUUUACUUGAACAACUCUAAGGAAUAACGCCAUAAAAAGUUUGAAUCUAAAGAUUUCUGCUAACAAGUCUCAGAUCUGGCACCAUAUAAGGGCUUUCCAAUUCAAGUACCUAAGAUAAAGAUUUACUUGAACAACUCUAAGGAAUAACGCCAUAAAAGGUUUGAAUCUAAAGAUUUCUGCUAACAAGUCCCAAACCUGGCACCAUAUAAAGGGUUUUCCAAUUCAAGGUCCUAAGAUAAAGAUUUACUUGAACAACUCUAAGGAAUAACGCCAUAAAAAGUCAGUGUUCUUUAUAUUUAUCUCUUCUUCUAUUUUUGAAAUAGUACUCACAGAUAUGCGGAGGUGACAGCAAAGAGAAGAGAAAUCCAAUUUAGUUGGCUACAUCAUUGUGACGGAGGGCAAAGAGACAACCAGAGAUUCACCAAAUUGGAUUUCUCCUUCUCUUUGCUUCACCACGUGUCUUUUCUCCUUCUUCCGUUAAUAUCUAAGCAUUUCAAGUAAUUUAUGAAAGUUAAUAAGGGUAAUUUAGCAAAACUAAAAACAUUCUUAGAGCUUAUAAAAUCCAACAUCGUUGCAAAUCCUACAACCGUUCUUAAUUUAUCACUUUCACUGUACACAGGUCUCUCCGCCUAUUUUUCUCAUCUUUCAUCAAACUCAUGGCUGCAACUAAGCCCUUAAAUGACUUUUUCCCUCCCUCCCUUGCAUCCCCUCUAAUAAAAUAAGGAGUCUGAAUCUUUUGUUCUGAAUCUUUUGUUUUGCCGCCUUCAAUCUUUCAUUUACUUUUGACGACAUUUUGUGAAUGAAUGUGUCAAGCAUUUAAGGAUGUAAAUCUGCAUUCUAAUCUGUGUUUUCAUUGUUUUCUCUUUUAAGGCUUGAAUCUAAAAAUUUCUGCUAACAAGUCCCAGAUCUAGGCACCAUGUAAAGGUCGGCUCUCUUUAUCCAUCUUUGUUUUCAAUUUAGGCAUGUAGUCUGAGUUCUAAUCUCUUUUUCAAGGUUUCCAAUUCAAGGCCCUAAGCUAAAGAUUUUAUUGAACAACUCUAAGGAAUAACGCC